RNAcentral lists this transfer RNA (28 nucleotides) under Melissodes morrilli. RNAcentral describes it as "partial tRNA-Leu". The record is from RNAcentral. Lineage: Eukaryota; Metazoa; Arthropoda; Insecta; Hymenoptera; Apidae.
UAAGUUUUUAUUUUAAUAUGGCAGAUUA